This 108-nucleotide non-coding RNA is filed under the name Enterocloster asparagiformis. RNAcentral's name for it is "Clostridium asparagiforme TPP sequence". It matches the Rfam family "TPP riboswitch aptamer (THI element)". From Rfam's summary of the family: Vitamin B(1) in its active form thiamin pyrophosphate (TPP) is an essential coenzyme that is synthesised by coupling of pyrimidine and thiazole moieties in bacteria. The previously detected thiamin-regulatory element, thi box was extended, resulting in a new, highly conserved RNA secondary structure, the THI element, which is widely distributed in eubacteria and also occurs in some archaea. Analysis of operon structures identified a large number of new candidate thiamin-regulated genes, mostly transporters, in various prokaryotic organisms. Lineage: Bacteria; Bacillati; Bacillota; Clostridia; Lachnospirales; Lachnospiraceae. The record is from RNAcentral.
AUCGAAAAGCGGGGAGCUCACAGUAGUGGGCUGAGAGGAAGCUGAGACUGCUUCGACCCUUGACCUGAUUUGGAUAAUGCCAACGUAGGGAACCAUAGCCAUUUGUAU